This 524-nucleotide ribosomal RNA is filed under the name uncultured soil bacterium. Its description in RNAcentral is "bacterial SSU rRNA". It matches the Rfam family "Bacterial small subunit ribosomal RNA", at positions 8 to 526 of the family's 1533-position model. The record is from RNAcentral.
AGAGUUUGAUCCUGGCUCAGAUUGAACGCUGGCGGCAGGCUUAACACAUGCAAGUCGAGCGGAGAUGAGGUGCUUGCACCUUAUCUUAGCGGCGGACGGGUGAGUAAUGCUUAGGAAUCUGCCUAUUAGUGGGGGACAACAUUCCGAAAGGGAUGCUAAUACCGCAUACGUCCUACGGGAGAAAGCAGGGGAUCUUCGGACCUUGCGCUAAUAGAUGAGCCUAAGUCGGAUUAGCUAGUUGGUGGGGUAAAGGCCUACCAAGGCGACGAUCUGUAGCGGGUCUGAGAGGAUGAUCCGCCACACUGGGACUGAGACACGGCCCAGACUCCUACGGGAGGCAGCAGUGGGGAAUAUUGGACAAUGGGGGGAACCCUGAUCCAGCCAUGCCGCGUGUGUGAAGAAGGCCUUAUGGUUGUAAAGCACUUUAAGCGAGGAGGAGGCUACUGAGACUAAUACUCUUGGAUAGUGGACGUUACUCGCAGAAUAAGCACCGGCUAACUCUGUGCCAGCCGCCGCGGUAAUAC